This is a long non-coding RNA of Triticum dicoccoides, 352 nucleotides long. RefSeq lists it as uncharacterized. Lineage: Eukaryota; Viridiplantae; Streptophyta; Magnoliopsida; Poales; Poaceae. The transcript is spliced from 2 exons. The record is from RefSeq and is a predicted model, not a curated record.
CCACCACGCAGUGGCGCGCUCGCCCCCCACCUUCAUUAACCGCUGCCGGUGCACCUCGCCACGAUCCCACAAGUUCGGCCGCCGCCGACAUGAGGUUCACUUUGCCAUGGUAGCCUGGACGCCCCAGCAUUGCACCUCAAUCAUUGGUGGUGCAGUCUACACGCAUGCAUGCAUGGUGUCGUGCGGUGUGUGUGGCGUGCAGCUCGGAGCAAGCGGGCAUGAAGUUUAUCUUGCUGUUUGUGGUUUUUUUUGUGUGUAUUGAGUGUAUCUGGCUGGUAUAUGAUGUAUUGUGUGUAAAAAAAUUUAUUUGUUGAGAAGUUCAUUUCAACGAGCAUUAAUGGUUCUUUUUCAA